AUUGAACGCCGGCGGCAGGCCUAACACAUGCAAGUCGAGCGGAUGAAGGGAGCUUGCUCCUGGAUUCAGCGGCGGACGGGUGAGUAAUGCCUAGGAAUCUGCCUGGUAGUGGGGGAUAACGUCCGGAAACGGGCGCUAAUACCGCAUACGUCCUGAGGGAGAAAGUGGGGGAUCUUCGGACCUCACGCUAUCAGAUGAGCCUAGGUCGGAUUAGCUAGUUGGUGGGGUAAAGGCCUACCAAGGCGACGAUCCGUAACUGGUCUGAGAGGAUGAUCAGUCACACUGGAACUGAGACACGGUCCAGACUCCUACGGGAGGCAGCAGUGGGGAAUAUUGGACAAUGGGCGAAAGCCUGAUCCAGCCAUGCCGCGUGUGUGAAGAAGGUCUUCGGAUUGUAAAGCACUUUAAGUUGGGAGGAAGGGCAGUAAGUUAAUACCUUGCUGUUUUGACGGUACCAACAGAAUAAGCACCGGCUAACUUCGUG
Molecule: ribosomal RNA, 484 nt
Filed under: uncultured bacterium
Lineage: Bacteria
Description: partial 16S ribosomal RNA
Rfam family: Bacterial small subunit ribosomal RNA
Source: RNAcentral